Molecule: ribosomal RNA, 474 nt
Filed under: uncultured bacterium
Lineage: Bacteria
Description: bacterial SSU rRNA
Rfam family: Bacterial small subunit ribosomal RNA
Source: RNAcentral
AGGACGAACGCUGGCGGCGUGCUCAUACAUGCAAGUCGAACGAGAAUACUCUAGCUUGCUAGAGAGGAAAGUGGCGGACGGGUGAGUAAUAUGUAGAGAAUCUGCCCUGGAGAGGGGGACAACAGAGGGAAACUUCUGCUAAUACCCCAUAUGCGCGUAGUUGCGAUACUAUUCGUGAAAGAUUUAUCGCUCCAGGAUGAGUCUGCAUCUGAUUAGCUAGUUGGGGGUGUAAUGGACCACCAAGGCGACGAUCAGUAGCUGGUUUGAGAGGAUGAUCAGCCACAAUGGGACUGAGACACGGCCCAUACUCCUACGGGAGGCAGCAGUAGGGAAUUUUGCGCAAUGGGCGAAAGCCUGACGCCAGCAACGCCGCGUGAUCGUAGACGCCCUUCGGGGUGUAAAGAUCUGUCAGUAGGGACGAACAAUGACUGUACCUACAGAGGAAGCACCGGCUAACUCCGUGCCAGCCGCCGC